Molecule: ribosomal RNA, 451 nt
Filed under: uncultured bacterium
Lineage: Bacteria
Description: partial 16S ribosomal RNA
Rfam family: Bacterial small subunit ribosomal RNA
Source: RNAcentral
GUGGGGAAUAUUGCGCAAUGGGGGAAACCCUGACGCAGCGACGCCGUGUGAGGGAAGAAGGCUUUCGGGUCGUAAACCUCUGUCAGGAAGGAAGAACCUCUCAAGGCUGAACAAGCCUUGGGACUGACGGUACUUCCAGAGGAAGCACCGGCUAACUCCGUGCCAGCAGCCGCGGUAAUACGGAGGGUGCAAGCGUUAAUCGGAAUCACUGGGCGUAAAGCGCGCGUAGGCCGUCUUUUAAGUCGGACGUGAAAGCCCUCGGCUCAGCCGGGGAACUGCGUUCGAUACUGGGAGACUUGAGUCCUGGAGAGGGUGGCGGAAUUCCGGGUGUAGGAGUGAAAUCCGUAGAUAUCCGGAGGAACACCGGUGGCGAAGGCGGCCACCUGGACAGGUACUGACGCUGAGGCGCGAAAGCGUGGGGAGCAAACAGGAUUAGAAACCCGGGUAGUCC